Molecule: long non-coding RNA, 376 nt
Filed under: Gallus gallus (chicken)
Lineage: Eukaryota; Metazoa; Chordata; Aves; Galliformes; Phasianidae
Source: RNAcentral
CUGACUUUGGGACUGGACCAGGUUGCUUCUCACCAUCUUCAUUAUCAACUUGCCCAACAUUUUCCAGUAGUUCAGAAACUGCUAAUUGCUUCUUCUUUUUUGGGUUUAAUUUCCAAUACAUGACUAAGGCAGCUUUUCUCACAGCUCUCUCCAAGUCAGUCUCAGAUGAUAGUUUUUUAACUUCUUGCUCAUUCUCAGAAGUGAUGCCUCUUCUGUCUGCUAGGCAUCUACGCAACAGUUUAACAGCUUCUCUUCGACCUUGCUUAGCAGCAAGGAUGAACCAAUCAACCGCACUACAGUUGUUAAGUUCUUCAUCCUCCUCUUCUGCUAAUCUCAAGAAGUGUUUCCCCACCUCUGUUUGUGCUUUUGGUUCUCC